GGGCAGUUAGCUCAGCGGUAGAGCAUUGCCUUCACACGGCAAGGGUCACAGGUUCGAUCCCUGUACUGCCCACCA
This 75-nucleotide transfer RNA is filed under the name Lysobacteraceae bacterium. RNAcentral's name for it is "tRNA-Val". It matches the Rfam family "tRNA". Rfam says of the family: Transfer RNA (tRNA) molecules are approximately 80 nucleotides in length. Their secondary structure includes four short double-helical elements and three loops (D, anti-codon, and T loops). RNAcentral also lists the same sequence under 1 other name. Lineage: Bacteria; Pseudomonadati; Pseudomonadota; Gammaproteobacteria; Lysobacterales; Lysobacteraceae. The record is from RNAcentral.